AAUCAACGCUGGCGGCGUGCCUCAGACAUGCAAGUCGAACGAUUAAAGCUCUCUUCGGAGAGUGUAUAGAGUGGCGCACGGGUGAGUAACACGUAAGUAAUCUACCCUCGAGUGGGGAAUAACAACCGGAAACGGUUGCUAAUACCGCAUAAUGCAGCGGCACCGCAAGGUGACAGUUGUUAAAGAUUUAUCGCUUGAGGAGGAGCUUGCGGCAGAUUAGCUAGUUGGUAGGGUAACGGCUUACCAAGGCUACGAUCUGUAACCGGUCUAAGAGGACGGUCGGUCACACUGACACUGAAUAACGGGUCAGACUCCUACGGGAGGCAGCAGUCGGGAAUUUUGGGCAAUGGGCGAAAGCCUGACCCAGCAACGCCGCGUGAAGGAUGAAGUAUUUCGGUAUGUAAACUUCGAAAGAAUAGGAAGAAUUAAUGACGGUACUAUUUAUAAGGUCCGGCUAACUACGUGCCAGCAGCCGCGGUAAGGUGCGCGAGU
This 492-nucleotide ribosomal RNA is filed under the name uncultured bacterium. Its description in RNAcentral is "bacterial SSU rRNA". It matches the Rfam family "Bacterial small subunit ribosomal RNA", at positions 32 to 534 of the family's 1533-position model. The record is from RNAcentral.